Molecule: ribosomal RNA, 345 nt
Filed under: uncultured bacterium
Lineage: Bacteria
Description: partial 16S ribosomal RNA
Rfam family: Bacterial small subunit ribosomal RNA
Source: RNAcentral
CCUACGGGGGGCAGCAGUGGGGAAUAUUGCACAAUGGGGGAAACCCUGAUGCAGCGACGCCGCGUGAGUGAAGAAGUAAUUCGUUACGUAAAGCUCUAUCAGCAGGGAAGAAACACUGACCUUACGGGCAGCAGACGGUACCUGAGGAAGAAGCCCCGGCUAACUACGUGCCAGCAGCCGCGGUAAUACGUAGGGGGCAAGCGUUAUCCGGAUUUACGGGGUGUAAAGGGAGCGUAGACGGUGCGCCAAGGCUGGAGUGAAAUGCCGCCGCUUAACUGCGGAACUGCUUUGGAAACUGGCGAACUUGUGUGCGGGCGGGGUCAGCGGACUUCCUAGUGUAGCGGU